Molecule: long non-coding RNA, 783 nt
Filed under: Brassica napus (rape)
Lineage: Eukaryota; Viridiplantae; Streptophyta; Magnoliopsida; Brassicales; Brassicaceae
Description: long non-coding RNA (BNAP_LNC007813)
Source: RNAcentral
UCAACAAUAUUUCUCUAAAAAAUGAAAACUUUUCAAAAAUGGCAGUUUUCAAGAAAAUUAUUUAAAAAUAUAACCUACUAAUGAAAAACUCCAAAAGAAUACUCAUAUAUCCACAAAUAUUCUUGUUGUCCUAAUUUAUAAAUCACAAACCCAAAUCUAUAAUAUUUCUCUAAAAAUGAAAUGUUUCAAAAAAUAACAGUUUUUAAGAACAUUAUUUAAAAAUACAAACUGUUGAUGAAAAACUACGAAAGAAUACUCAUCUAUCCAUAAAUAUUCUUGUUGUCCUAAUUUCUAAAUCACAAAACUCAAACCUAUAAUAUUUCUCUAAAAAAUGAAAAUUUUCUAAAAGUUGCAGUUUUUAAGAAAAUUAUUUUAAAAUAGAAACUUUUGAUGAAAAGUAUUCGUCUUUCCAUAAAUAGUCUAGUUAUCCUAAUUUUUAAAUCACAAACCCCUAAUUUUUAAAUCACAAACCCUAAUCAACAUUAUUUCUCUAAAAAAAUGAAAACUUUUCAAAAAUAGCAGUUUUUAAGAAAAUUAUUUAAAAAUAUAACCAACUAAUGAAAAACUCUGAAAGAAUACUCAUCUAUCACAAAUAUUUUUGUUGUCCUAAUUCUAAAUUACAAACCCAAAUCUAUAGUAAUUCUCUAAAAAUGAAUACUUUCCAAAUAUAGCAGUUUUUAUGAAAAUUAUUUAAAAAUACAUCCUAUUGAUGAAAAACUCCGAAAGAAUACUCAUCUAUCCACAAAUAAUCAUGUUGUCCUAAUUUCUAAAUCACAAAACUCA